CUAACUUUACCCCUUCACUAUGCAGUUGUUCCCCAAAUCUUAUCCAAUUCAGGUUUCCACAAGAACUCAAAGAACUUAUCAAUGAGUAAUUUGACGCCAUCAGACCUGUUCUUCUCAUCAUCUGGAAGAUUGAUAUUGCAUCUUCAAAAUAUUCAUUUUGAUCUAGAGCAGAGAUCAUAGAGUUCCAAGAUACUGAAUCCUUAUCAAGCAUGGUCUCAAAAACAGAACGUUCAUUUUGAUCAAGAGCGGAGAUCAUAGAGUUCCAAGAUACUGAAUCCUUAUCAAGCAUGGUCUCAAAAACAGAACGAGCAAUCUGUAUUUCACCAAAUUUAGAAUACAUAUUAAUCAUAGCAUUUC
RNAcentral lists this long non-coding RNA (357 nucleotides) under Nicotiana benthamiana. RNAcentral's name for it is "long non-coding RNA (NBEN_LNC033724)". Lineage: Eukaryota; Viridiplantae; Streptophyta; Magnoliopsida; Solanales; Solanaceae. The record is from RNAcentral.